UGCAGUCGGGCGGUAACACAGAGGAGCUUGCUCCUUGGGUGACGAGCGGCGGACGGGUGAGUAAAGUCUGGGGAUCUGCCUGAUGGAGGGGGAUAACUACUGGAAACGGUAGCUAAUACCGCAUGACGUCUUCGGACCAAAGUGGGGGACCUUCGGGCCUCACGCCAUGAGAUGAACCCAGAUGGGAUUAGCUGGUAGGUGAGGUAACGGCUCACCUAGGCGACGAUCCCUAGCUGGUCUGAGAGGAUGACCAGCCACACUGGAACUGAGACACGGUCCAGACUCCUACGGGAGGCAGCAGUGGGGAAUAUUGCACAAUGGGGGAAACCCUGAUGCAGCCAUGCCGCGUGUGUGAAGAAGGCCUUCGGGUUGUAAAGCACUUUCAGCGGGGAGGAAGGCAAUAAACUUAAUAAGUUUGUUGAUUGACGUUACCCGCAGAAGAAGCACCGGCUAACUCCGUGCCAGCAGCCGCGGUAAUACGGAGGGUGCAAGCGUUAAUCGGAAUGACUGGGCGUAAAGCGCACGCAGGCGGUCUGUUAAGUUGGAUGUGAAAUCCCCGGGCUCAACCCGGGAACAGCAUUCAAAACUGACAGGCUAGAGUCUCGUAGAGGGGGGUAGAAUUCCAGGUGUAGCGGUGAAAUGCGUAGAGAUCUGGAGGAAUACCGGUGGCGAAGGCGGCCCCCUGGACGAAGACUGACGCUCAGGUGCGAAAGCGUGGGGAGCAAACAGGAUUAGAUACCCUGGUAGUCCACGCCGUAAACGAUGUCGACUUGGAGGCUGUGGUCUUGAACCGUGGCUUCCGGAGCUAACGCGUUAAGUCGACCGCCUGGGGAGUACGGCCGCAAGGUUAAAACUCAAAUGAAUUGACGGGGGCCCGCACAAGCGGUGGAGCAUGUGGUUUAAUUCGAUGCAACGCGAAGAACCUUACCUACUCUUGACAUCCAGAGAAGACUGUAGAGAUACGGUUGUGCCUUCGGGAGCUCUGAGACAGGUGCUGCAUGGCUGUCGUCAGCUCGUGUUGUGAAAUGUUGGGUUAAGUCCCGCAACGAGCGCAACCCUUAUCCUUUGUUGCCAGCGAUACGGUCGGGAACUCAAAGGAGACUGCCGGUGAUAAACCGGAGGAAGGUGGGGAUGACGUCAAGUCAUCAUGGCCCUUACGAGUAGGGCUACACACGUGCUACAAUGGCGCAUACAAAGAGAAGCGAGCCUGCGAGGGUGAGCGGACCUCAUAAAGUGCGUCGUAGUCCGGAUUGGAGUCUGCAACUCGACUCCAUGAAGUCGGAAUCGCUAGUAAUCGUAGAUCAGAAUGCUACGGUGAAUACGUUCCCGGGCCUUGUACACACCGCCCGUCACACCAUGGGAGUGGGUUGCAAAAGAAGUAGGUAGCUUAAC
RNAcentral lists this ribosomal RNA (1392 nucleotides) under Brenneria salicis. RNAcentral describes it as "bacterial SSU rRNA". It matches the Rfam family "Bacterial small subunit ribosomal RNA". Lineage: Bacteria; Pseudomonadati; Pseudomonadota; Gammaproteobacteria; Enterobacterales; Pectobacteriaceae. The record is from RNAcentral.